GAGGCNUUCUGACUGGCGCCGAUGCUCCGGCAACGGCGCGCCGGAUGCCGGAAAGUUGGUCAAACUUGAUCAUUUAGAGGAAGUAAAAGUCGUAACAAGGUUUCCGUAGGUGAACCUGCGGAAGGAUCAUUACCGAUGUAAUCCAAAGGCACGACUCCGUCGUGACUACCGUGUGAACCGUACCAAACUAUUCAGGGGUCGGCCAGUCCGUUAAAUGGCGGUCGGGCGCGCGCAUUGCGCGCGGCCGCUCCGCCAGCCCCGCCUGUGUUUUUUAACAUACGUGUCUUGUCUGAAAAAGUGGCCACUGAAGUGGUCGAGAGCAAAGAAAAAGAGAGACAACUUUUGACGGUGGAUCUCUUGGCUCACGCAUCGAUGAAGAACGCAGCCAGCUGCGAUAAGUAGUGUGAAUUGCAGAAUUCAGUGAAUCAUCGAAUCUUUGAACGCAAAUGGCGCUCUUGGGUUCUCCCAGGAGCAUGUCUGUCUGAGUGUCGGAUAUCAUCCAACGCACCCAAUCGUGCGGCGUUGAGGCGUCACGGCCCUUCUCGCGGCCGUGUCCCUUGAAAGUCAGCGAGACUCGCCGCGGCACGGGUUCGUUCCCUGCACACUCGCGGAGGCUAAAAACGCUUUUGCCCUUCGCGUGCAACGGAGCCACCCGCCCGCCGAGUCGCGGAGGCGAACAGUAUUCAACUCUUGACCUCAGAUCAGGCAAGGCUACCC
Molecule: small RNA, 717 nt
Filed under: Leptastrea pruinosa
Lineage: Eukaryota; Metazoa; Cnidaria; Anthozoa; Scleractinia; Leptastreidae
Description: eukaryotic LSU rRNA
Rfam family: 5.8S ribosomal RNA (bases 338-491)
Source: RNAcentral